UAGCAUACGCUUGGCUCAAAGAUUAAGCCAUGCAUGUCUAAGUAUAAACAAAUCUAUACUGUGAAACUGCGAAUGGCUCAGUUAUAGUUUAUUUGAUGGUUUUUGCUACUUGGAUAACCGUAGUAAUUCUAGAGCUAAUACAUGCAUAAAACUCUGACUGGUAAUGGAAGGGGUGUAUUUAUUAGAUGGAAACCAAUCCAGGGAAACCUGGUCUUUAUUUGGUGAUUCAUAAUAACUUUCGGAUCAAUCGCAAGAUUGAUGCAUCAUUCAAGUUUCUGCCCUAUCAGCUUUGGAUGGUAGGGUAUUGGCCUACCAUGGCUUUAACGGGUAACGGAGAAUUAGGGUUCGAUUCCGGAGAGGGAGCCUGAGAAACGGCUACCACAUCCAAGGAAGGCAGCAGGCGCGUAAAUUACCUAAUCCUGACACAGGGAGGUAGUGACAAUAAAUAACAAUGCUGGGCUUUUUAAAGUCUGGCAAUUGGAAUGAGAACAAUUUAAAUCCCUUAUCGAGGAUCAAUU
Molecule: ribosomal RNA, 518 nt
Filed under: uncultured eukaryote
Lineage: Eukaryota
Description: SSU rRNA
Rfam family: Eukaryotic small subunit ribosomal RNA
Source: RNAcentral